ACAGAACGAAUUUGCAGAUAAACCUACACGUGGCAAUAACCCAUUUGCCCCAUCAUUUCUUUGGAUAAGGAAAUGGAUGAGGGGUAACCAACAAGUCCCUUUGGCCUUUUUCAUACCAUUUCCUCAAAUACAAUCCAAAUCAAGCAUCUCAAAACUUAAAGAAAAAGAAGAAGGAGAAG
This is a long non-coding RNA of Hibiscus syriacus, 179 nucleotides long. RefSeq lists it as uncharacterized. The record is from RefSeq and is a predicted model, not a curated record. The transcript is spliced from 3 exons. NCBI's taxonomy places the organism in Eukaryota, Viridiplantae, Streptophyta, Magnoliopsida, Malvales, Malvaceae.